UUGGCGUGUCGUUCGGUGUCCGAGAAGAGGUAUUUGGGAAGACAAUUCAGCCUCUGGGUUACAGGGCACCUGAAGUCACCCUGGGCCUCCCCUUCUCCGAGGCCAUAGACGCUUGGAGUCUAGGCUGUGUGCUCGGGGUCUUGUACCUCUGCAAACACCUGUUUGCGAUAGACUGCGAGUACCAGUCAAUGAGGGGCAUUGUAGACGUCCUGGGCCAGCCAGCUGACCACCUUCUCUGUGCUGGGAAAUGCACACAAAA
Xiphias gladius (swordfish) is the source of this 259-nucleotide long non-coding RNA. RefSeq lists it as uncharacterized. The record is from RefSeq and is a predicted model, not a curated record. The transcript has 3 exons. NCBI's taxonomy places the organism in Eukaryota, Metazoa, Chordata, Actinopteri, Istiophoriformes, Xiphiidae.